UACGUAGGGUGCAAGCGUUAAUCGGAAUUACUGGGCGUAAAGCGUGCGCAGGCGGCUUUGCAAGACAGAUGUGAAAUCCCCGGGCUUAACCUGGGAACUGCAUUUGUGACUGCAUGGCUAGAGUGCGGCAGAGGGGGAUGGAAUUCCGCGUGUAGCAGUGAAAUGCGUAGAGAUGUGGAGGAAUACCGAUGGCGAAGGCAGCCCCCUGGGAUAACACUGACGCUCAUGCACGAAAGCGUGGGGAGCAAACAGG
Molecule: ribosomal RNA, 253 nt
Filed under: uncultured bacterium
Lineage: Bacteria
Description: partial 16S ribosomal RNA
Rfam family: Bacterial small subunit ribosomal RNA
Source: RNAcentral